CUGAGUGUCGGUCACUUCAGCAAAUCUUGAGCUUAGUUCUUCUUUUAACUGAGGCCAGGGUUUCCCCUGGGUCAAUUAUUUUUUUCGCCACCUCUUUCGCCAAAACAAUAUAUUUUUCGCCACAUUAUUAUUUUUUUCGCCAAGUAACAUAAAUACAUUUUUCGUUUAAAAUUUACCUUUUUUUCUACCCUCCCCCUUUCCCUCCUUCCCUUAAUUAAAUAAGAUGAUUUCGCCCUUUUGUACUAAGAAGUGGUUUUUACAACAAAACAAAAGCUUUUAUCACAUGAAAUUAAUCCCUUAUUUCAUGUGAAGUCAUUACGUUGAAGGAUUACUCUCAUUCGAGGGUUUGUUCCCAACCUUUUGGAUGUACUUCUUCAUAACGACAGUUUUCUUUUCUUGACCAUCAUAAAUGAAAAAGUUGAUACGUAAAACUAUGCUUGAAACCGUGACUUCUGUCACUCAAACGACUUUAAAGUAGUCUCCCUAAUAAAUUACUUUUAUUAAGUAAAUGGAUAAUUAAAGUUUUAAAUCGGAAAUUUUUCUUGGUUUUGAACAAUUUUCAUCACAACAACAGCUUUCUUUUCUGAACUAUCUUUAAAAGGAGAGAAGACGUCAAACGUUUGCUUCAAACACGUGCGUCACAAAGUGGUAAAUAAAUUCUGUAUGUGACAUUUAGUGGAAGCCAUUUAACCAUUUCAUUUUGUCAAACAAUUCAAUCAACACCUUUAUUAAUUAGUCCUUUGUUGUCGAUAGCUAUAUUUCCCCAAGGGUGACUGGGGUAUAGAAAUAUGGUCACUUGGUCUUCUCCCGACCGGCAGUAAAACGCUUGCUGAAGUGGGGCGUCCGUUUGGCUGUGCGGGAUGUAUCAAGUUCGCAGUCACGUCCGUCAGAAGGGGACGUUAAAUCCGAUGCCUCGUGUAAAGAGAGUGCCACGCUCUUUGCACGUUAAGAACCCUUGCAACAACUCUUUGAGGGGUCCGUAGGUGGCCUGUUGCAAGGCAAAAUUUCUGUCCCUAUCCAAUAUACCCUCAUUUUCCAGUGGCAGUCCAAAUUUCCCCGACCAUCAUCCUAGAUGGCCUCUAUUACAACAACC
Molecule: long non-coding RNA, 1093 nt
Filed under: Mytilus galloprovincialis (Mediterranean mussel)
Lineage: Eukaryota; Metazoa; Mollusca; Bivalvia; Mytilida; Mytilidae
Source: RNAcentral